AAGGGCGUGCUAAUCUGCGAUAAGCGUCGGUAAGGUGAUAUGAACCGUUAUAACCGGCGAUACCCGAAUGGGGAAACCCAGUGUGAUUCGUCACACUAUCAUUAACUGAAUCCAUAGGUUAAUGAGGCGAACCGGGGGAACUGAAACAUCUAAGUACCCCGAGGAAAAGAAAUCAACCGAGAUUCCCCCAGUAGCGGCGAGCGAACGGGGAGGAGCCCAGAGCCUGAAUCAGCAUGUGUGUUAGUGGAAGCGUCUGGAAAGGCGCGCGAUACAGGGUGACAGCCCCGUACACAAAAGCGCAUGUGCUGUGAGCUCGAUGAGUAGGGCGGGACACGUGGUAUCCUGUCUGAAUAUGGGGGGACCAUCCUCCAAGGCUAAAUACUCCUGACUGACCGAUAGUGAACCAGUACCGUGAGGGAAAGGCGAAAAGAACCCCGGCGAGGGGAGUGAAAAAGAACCUGAAACCGU
This 468-nucleotide ribosomal RNA is filed under the name Salmonella enterica subsp. enterica serovar Stanleyville. Its description in RNAcentral is "partial 23S ribosomal RNA". It matches the Rfam family "Bacterial large subunit ribosomal RNA", at positions 52 to 559 of the family's 2925-position model. Lineage: Bacteria; Pseudomonadati; Pseudomonadota; Gammaproteobacteria; Enterobacterales; Enterobacteriaceae. The record is from RNAcentral.